This is a long non-coding RNA of Grus americana (Whooping crane), 600 nucleotides long. RefSeq lists it as uncharacterized. The transcript is spliced from 5 exons. NCBI's taxonomy places the organism in Eukaryota, Metazoa, Chordata, Aves, Gruiformes, Gruidae. The record is from RefSeq and is a predicted model, not a curated record.
GCCGCACCGGGGCUGCCACGGGGUCUUCAACAUGGUUGGCAUUGCCACAGCUACCUUCCUGCAUGCGGCUCAGUGCAACGUAUCCUAGAUUACUUCAUUCUUUCAGUGACUACUGCUAGACAGACGCAUCCUGUUGUGAUAAAGGGGACCAGCUGGAUUUAGGACUGUGGCUUCGCGUUUGUGGACUGUCGAAACCCAGGGACUGAGCAAAGCAGGCAAAGCAAGGAGCAGCUCCCUCCUCCAUCGGGUUUUCGUGAUGAAGGAGGGGCAGAGAGGAGGCAUCCAAGGAGUGAUGCAGGCAUCUGAGUCUCUGUUCACCUCGCAGCUGUGGAAAUCUCCGUGCGGGUGGUGAGGGAGCAUGCUCUGUGCUGCCGUCAGGAGGGAGGAAGAGGCGAGGGCCUGGGUGCCCGAAUGCUUUUCCUGAAAUAUCCAUCAUUUCGGGUUAGGUGCCAGCGCCCUCGGUCCAGGGGCUCUGCCUCUGUCGCACAGGGAGCAGGUGAACAGAGACGGAAAGAUUUGUCACUUGUUUUUUGCUGGUAAUUCCUCUAAACAAUGAAUCUGGUAAUGGGCCGUAGAUUUCCCAGGUGAAAGCCAGCUUGU